Molecule: ribosomal RNA, 254 nt
Filed under: uncultured bacterium
Lineage: Bacteria
Description: partial 16S ribosomal RNA
Rfam family: Bacterial small subunit ribosomal RNA
Source: RNAcentral
UACGGAGGGGGCUAGCGUUGUUCGGAAUUACUGGGCGUAAAGCGCACGUAGGCGGCGAUUUAAGUCAGAGGUGAAAGCCCGGGGCUCAACCCCGGAAUAGCCUUUGAGACUGGAUUGCUAGAAUCUUGGAGAGGCGAGUGGAAUUCCGAGUGUAGAGGUGAAAUUCGUAGAUAUUCGGAAGAACACCAGUGGCGAAGGCGGCUCGCUGGGACAAGUAUUGACGCUGAGGUGCGAAAGCGUGGGGAGCAAACAGG